This 132-nucleotide small RNA is filed under the name Citrobacter freundii. Its description in RNAcentral is "RtT sRNA". It matches the Rfam family "RtT RNA". Rfam says of the family: This family represents a bacterial cis-regulatory element known as RtT RNA. The exact function of RtT is unknown although it is thought that it may be involved in changing the cellular response in relation to amino acid starvation. RNAcentral also lists the same sequence under 19 other names. Lineage: Bacteria; Pseudomonadati; Pseudomonadota; Gammaproteobacteria; Enterobacterales; Enterobacteriaceae. The record is from RNAcentral.
UAUUCUUCCUAUGCGGGAAGGAUGAGAAGCUUCGACCAGGGUUCGAUUCGAGCGUUAGCGAGAAAGCGUUGCCGCAGGCAACGACCCGAAGGGCGAAGCGCGCAGCGCUGAGUAAUCCUUCCCCCACCACCA